This 497-nucleotide ribosomal RNA is filed under the name uncultured bacterium. RNAcentral's name for it is "partial 16S ribosomal RNA". It matches the Rfam family "Bacterial small subunit ribosomal RNA", at positions 28 to 507 of the family's 1533-position model. The record is from RNAcentral.
GAUGAACGCUGGCGGCGUGCCUAAUACAUGCAAGUAGAACGCUGAAGGAAGGAGCUUGCUCUUUCCGGAUGAGUUGCGAACGGGUGAGUAACGCGUAGGUAACCUGCCUGGUAGCGGGGGAUAACUAUUGGAAACGAUAGCUAAUACCGCAUAACAGUAGAUGUUGCAUGAUAUCUACUUAAAAGGUGCAAUUGCACCACUACCAGAUGGACCUGCGUUGUAUUAGCUAGUUGGUGAGGUAACGGCUCACCAAGGCGACGAUACAUAGCCGACCUGAGAGGGUGAUCGGCCACACUGGGACUGAGACACGGCCCAGACUCCUACGGGAGGCAGCAGUAGGGAAUCUUCGGCAAUGGACGGAAGUCUGACCGAGCAACGCCGCGUGAGUGAAGAAGGGUUUCGGAUCGUAAAGCUCUGUUGUAAGAGAAGAACGAGUGUGAGAGUGGAAAGUUCACACUGUGACGGUAUCUUACGAGAAAGGGACGGCUAACUACGUG